RNAcentral lists this ribosomal RNA (688 nucleotides) under uncultured Streptococcaceae bacterium. RNAcentral's name for it is "bacterial SSU rRNA". It matches the Rfam family "Bacterial small subunit ribosomal RNA", at positions 93 to 769 of the family's 1533-position model. The record is from RNAcentral. Lineage: Bacteria; Bacillati; Bacillota; Bacilli; Lactobacillales; Streptococcaceae.
GAGUUGCGAACGGGUGAGUAACGCGUAGGUAACCUGCCUGGUAGCGGGGGAUAACUAUUGGAAACGAUAGCUAAUACCGCAUAAGAGUAGAUGUUGCAUGACAUUUGCUUAAAAGGUGCAAUUGCAUCACUACCAGAUGGACCUGCGUUGUAUUAGCUAGUUGGUGGGGUAACGGCUCACCAAGGCGACGAUACAUAGCCGACCUGAGAGGGUGAUCGGCCACACUGGGACUGAGACACGGCCCAGACUCCUACGGGAGGCAGCAGUAGGGAAUCUUCGGCAAUGGACGGAAGUCUGACCGAGCAACGCCGCGUGAGUGAAGAAGGUUUUCGGAUCGUAAAGCUCUGUUGUAAGAGAAGAACGAGUGUGAGAGUGGAAAGUUCACACUGUGACGGUAUCUUACCAGAAAGGGACGGCUAACUACGUGCCAGCAGUCGCGGUAAUACGUAGGUCCCGAGCGUUGUCCGGAUUUAUUGGGCGUAAAGCGAGCGCAGGCGGUUAGAUAAGUCUGAAGUUAAAGGCUGUGGCUUAACCAUAGUACGCUUUGGAAACUGUUUAACUUGAGUGCAAGAGGGGAGAGUGGAAUUCCAUGUGUAGCGGUGAAAUGCGUAGAUAUAUGGAGGAACACCGGUGGCGAAAGCGGCUCUCUGGCUUGUAACUGACGCUGAGGCUCGAAAGCGUGGGGAGC